GGAUGUGAGGGCCAUCUGGCUGCGACACCUGUCACCCCAUUGAUCUCCAGGGUUGAUUCGGCUAAUCUGGCUGUCUAGGGGAAUGUCUCCUUCCUCCCUCACCGCUCCAUGUGGGUCCCAGCCGAAGCUGCGGGCUCGGUCCAAGAGAAGGACCAUCCCCGAUAGAGGAGGACCGCUCUCCGGUCAACGGUAUAUGAGUAGCUGCGGUCCGCUGCUAGAACCUCCAAACAAGCUCUCAAAAUAUCUCCAAAAUUCCACAAAAACGUUCAACAGGUGCCCUUAAUUAGGUACUGGAAUUUAUACGUCCCCUAAUUUAGAAGCUCUCUCCAGUAACU
Molecule: unclassified non-coding RNA, 335 nt
Organism: Vulpes vulpes (red fox)
Lineage: Eukaryota; Metazoa; Chordata; Mammalia; Carnivora; Canidae
Gene: 7SK
Rfam family: 7SK RNA
About the family: 7SK was discovered as an abundant small nuclear RNA in the mid-70s but a possible function has only recently been suggested. Two independent studies have found that 7SK RNA binds the CDK9/cyclin T complex (known as elongation factor P-TEFb).
Source: Ensembl